UACGAGGGGUGCAAGCGUUGCUCGGAAUUAUUGGGCGUAAAGGGUAGGUAGGUGGUUUCGUUUGUCUGGGGUGAAAGCCUUGAGCUUAACUCAAGAAGUGCCCCGGAAACGGCGAAACUCGAGUACUGGAGAGGGUCGUGGAAUUCCCGGUGUAGCGGUGAAAUGCGUAGAUAUCAGGAGGAACACCGAUGGCGAAGGCAGGUCUCUGGGCAUUAACUGACGCUGAGGAGCGAAAGCAUGGGGAGCGAACAGG
RNAcentral lists this ribosomal RNA (253 nucleotides) under uncultured bacterium. RNAcentral describes it as "partial 16S ribosomal RNA". It matches the Rfam family "Bacterial small subunit ribosomal RNA", at positions 524 to 776 of the family's 1533-position model. The record is from RNAcentral.